GUGAAUCAUCAAAUUUUUGAACGCAAAUUGCACUCUCUUCGGAGAGUAUGCCUGUUUGAGGGUCAGCCUAAAAAAAAUCGACGUAGGCGCUGUUUCGCGGUGACAUUCGUCGGUAAUUGGGUCAUCUUCAACCUUUGGGUUUUUUAUGUGGCUUAAAAUUUUCUCUACGAUUCCACGAACGAUUCUAAGAUUUACUUCUUACGUUUACGAUAUCGAUUUUUAUUAGACGUGGUCGUUGCAUCGUAUCGCGUCCAACAAUCUUUCGUUA
This 268-nucleotide unclassified non-coding RNA is filed under the name Glomus sp. RNAcentral's name for it is "partial contains 5.8S ribosomal RNA and internal transcribed spacer 2". The stretch from base 1 to 65 matches the Rfam family "5.8S ribosomal RNA", at positions 84 to 154 of the family's 154-position model. The record is from RNAcentral. Lineage: Eukaryota; Fungi; Glomeromycota; Glomeromycetes; Glomerales; Glomeraceae.